This 377-nucleotide long non-coding RNA is filed under the name Bos taurus (domestic cattle). Its description in RNAcentral is "long non-coding RNA NONBTAT017952". The record is from RNAcentral. Lineage: Eukaryota; Metazoa; Chordata; Mammalia; Artiodactyla; Bovidae.
GGGUCACUCAUAGGCUGUUACACUGGCUCCUCAAAGUUGAAGGGAACUUUCUCACAUAUUAAAUUGCCAGCUUGAGAAACGUCUUAUUUAAAGCUGAGGGUAGAGAAUAUGGUUGUGUUUCUUGGCAACCCUGGCUCGAGAAAGGACACUGUCACUGGAAUAAAGAUUUUCAUGGUCUCCACUCACAGGAGAAGCAAGGCAUGCAAGCCCACAGCCCUCUGUACUUCCCUUUCUCCCCUAUGUGCUGAAUAUCUUGUGUUGGGUCACGGGGGAUUCAGGGUGCUUGUGGCCCAUGUGGGCUAGGCCCAGAUGUGGGCUUCCCCCAGCCCCUAGAUCCAUGUUUAGUCCCUUCUCCUAUUCCCACUCAGGGGGUUCUU